This 629-nucleotide ribosomal RNA is filed under the name uncultured Bacteroides sp. RNAcentral's name for it is "bacterial SSU rRNA". It matches the Rfam family "Bacterial small subunit ribosomal RNA", at positions 87 to 715 of the family's 1533-position model. The record is from RNAcentral. Lineage: Bacteria; Pseudomonadati; Bacteroidota; Bacteroidia; Bacteroidales; Bacteroidaceae.
GCUGACGACCGGCGCACGGGUGAGUAACACGUAUCCAACCUACCAUCCAUUCGGGGAUAGCCUUUCGAAAGAAAGAUUAAUACCCGAUAGUAUAGCGAUAAGGCAUCUUAUUGCUAUUAAAGAAUUUCGGUGUUUGAUGGGGAUGCGUUCCAUUAGAUUGUUGGUGAGGUAACGGCUCACCAAGUCUUCGAUGGAUAGGGGUUCUGAGAGGAAGGUCCCCCACAUUGGAACUGAGACACGGUCCAAACUCCUACGGGAGGCAGCAGUGAGGAAUAUUGGUCAAUGGACGAGAGUCUGAACCAGCCAAGUAGCGUGAAGGAUGAAGGCCCUAUGGGUCGUAAACUUCUUUUAUAGGGGAAUAAAGUGCGGAACGUGUUCCGUUUUGUAUGUACCCUACGAAUAAGGAUCGGCUAACUCCGUGCCAGCAGCCGCGGUAAUACGGAGGAUCCGAGCGUUAUCCGGAUUUAUUGGGUUUAAAGGGAGCGUAGGUGGACGUAUAAGUCAGUUGUGAAAGUUUGCGGCUCAACCGUAAAAUUGCAGUUGAUACUGUAUGUCUUGAGUGUACAAGAGGUGGGCGGAAUUCGUGGUGUAGCGGUGAAAUGCUUAGAUAUCACGAAGAACUCCGAUUG